Small nuclear RNA from Zalophus californianus (California sea lion), 107 nucleotides. NCBI's taxonomy places the organism in Eukaryota, Metazoa, Chordata, Mammalia, Carnivora, Otariidae. The record is from Ensembl.
AUACUCACUUCAACAGCACAUAUACUGAUACUGGAAUGAUAGAGAGAAGGUUAGCCCAACUCCUGUGCAAGAAUGACACACAAAGUUGUGAGGUGUUUCAUGUUUUU